This 468-nucleotide ribosomal RNA is filed under the name uncultured bacterium. RNAcentral's name for it is "partial 16S ribosomal RNA". It matches the Rfam family "Bacterial small subunit ribosomal RNA", at positions 28 to 507 of the family's 1533-position model. The record is from RNAcentral.
GAUGAACGCUGGCGGCGUGCUUAACACAUGCAAGUCGAACGGAAAGGCCGAAGCUUGCUUCGGUACUCGAGUGGCGAACGGGUGAGUAACACGUGGGUGAUCUGCCCUGUACUUCGGGAUAAGCUUGGGAAACUGGGUCUAAUACCGGAUAUGACGAUCUCUUGGAUGGGGUUGUGGAAAGCUUUUGCGGUAUGGGAUGAGCUCGCGGCCUAUCAGCUUGUUGGUGGGGUAAUGGCCUACCAAGGCGUCGACGGGUAGCCGGCCUGAGAGGGUGUACGGCCACAUUGGGACUGAGAUACGGCCCAGACUCCUACGGGAGGCAGCAGUGGUGAAUAUUGCACAAUGGGCGCAAGCCUGAUGCAGCGACGCCGCGUGGGGGAUGACGGCCUUCGGGUUGUAAACUCCUUUCGCAAUCGACGAAGCCUUUUGGUGACGGUAGGUUGAGAAGAAGCACCGGCUAACUACGUG